RNAcentral lists this ribosomal RNA (2928 nucleotides) under Salmonella enterica subsp. enterica serovar Enteritidis str. SA19982831. RNAcentral describes it as "bacterial LSU rRNA". It matches the Rfam family "Bacterial large subunit ribosomal RNA". The record is from RNAcentral. Lineage: Bacteria; Pseudomonadati; Pseudomonadota; Gammaproteobacteria; Enterobacterales; Enterobacteriaceae.
GGGUUGUGAGGUUAAGCGACUAAGCGUACACGGUGGAUGCCCUGGCAGUCAGAGGCGAUGAAGGGCGUGCUAAUCUGCGAUAAGCGCCGGUAAGGUGAUAUGAACCGUUAUAACCGGCGAUACCCGAAUGGGGAAACCCAGUGUGAUUCGUCACACUAUCAUUAACUGAAUCCAUAGGUUAAUGAGGCGAACCGGGGGAACUGAAACAUCUAAGUACCCCGAGGAAAAGAAAUCAACCGAGAUUCCCCCAGUAGCGGCGAGCGAACGGGGAGGAGCCCAGAGCCUGAAUCAGCAUGUGUGUUAGUGGAAGCGUCUGGAAAGGCGCGCGAUACAGGGUGACAGCCCCGUACACAAAAGCGCAUGUGCUGUGAGCUCGAUGAGUAGGGCGGGACACGUGGUAUCCUGUCUGAAUAUGGGGGGACCAUCCUCCAAGGCUAAAUACUCCUGACUGACCGAUAGUGAACCAGUACCGUGAGGGAAAGGCGAAAAGAACCCCGGCGAGGGGAGUGAAAAAGAACCUGAAACCGUGUACGUACAAGCAGUGGGAGCNNNNNNNNNNNNNNNNNNNNNNNNNCCUUUUGUAUAAUGGGUCAGCGACUUAUAUUCUGUAGCAAGGUUAACCGAAUAGGGGAGCCGGAGGGAAACCGAGUCUUAAUUGGGCGUUAAGUUGCAGGGUAUAGACCCGAAACCCGGUGAUCUAGCCAUGGGCAGGUUGAAGGUUGGGUAACACUAACUGGAGGACCGAACCGACUAAUGUUGAAAAAUUAGCGGAUGACCUGUGGCUGGGGGUGAAAGGCCAAUCAAACCGGGAGAUAGCUGGUUCUCCCCGAAAGCUAUUUAGGUAGCGCCUCGUGAAUUCAUCUCCGGGGGUAGAGCACUGUUUCGGCUAGGGGGCCAUCCCGGCUUACCAACCCGAUGCAAACUGCGAAUACCGGAGAAUGUUAUCACGGGAGACACACGGCGGGUGCUAACGUCCGUCGUGAAGAGGGAAACAACCCAGACCGCCAGCUAAGGUCCCAAAGUCAUGGUUAAGUGGGAAACGAUGUGGGAAGGCCCAGACAGCCAGGAUGUUGGCUUAGAAGCAGCCAUCAUUUAAAGAAAGCGUAAUAGCUCACUGGUCGAGUCGGCCUGCGCGGAAGAUGUAACGGGGCUAAACCAUGCACCGAAGCUGCGGCAGCGACACUGUGUGUUGUUGGGUAGGGGAGCGUUCUGUAAGCCUGUGAAGGUGUGUCGUGAGGCAUGCUGGAGGUAUCAGAAGUGCGAAUGCUGACAUAAGUAACGAUAAAGCGGGUGAAAAGCCCGCUCGCCGGAAGACCAAGGGUUCCUGUCCAACGUUAAUCGGGGCAGGGUGAGUCGACCCCUAAGGCGAGGCCGAAAGGCGUAGUCGAUGGGAAACGGGUUAAUAUUCCCGUACUUGGUGUUACUGCGAAGGGGGGACGGAGAAGGCUAUGUUGGCCGGGCGACGGUUGUCCCGGUUUAAGCGUGUAGGUGUGUGUUCCAGGUAAAUCCGGUUCACUUUAACACUGAGGCGUGACGACGAGGCACUACGGUGCUGAAGCAACAAAUGCCCUGCUUCCAGGAAAAGCCUCUAAGCAUCAGGUAACAUCAAAUCGUACCCCAAACCGACACAGGUGGUCAGGUAGAGAAUACCAAGGCGCUUGAGAGAACUCGGGUGAAGGAACUAGGCAAAAUGGUGCCGUAACUUCGGGAGAAGGCACGCUGACACGUAGGUGAAGUGAUUUACUCAUGGAGCUGAAGUCAGUCGAAGAUACCAGCUGGCUGCAACUGUUUAUUAAAAACACAGCACUGUGCAAACACGAAAGUGGACGUAUACGGUGUGACGCCUGCCCGGUGCCGGAAGGUUAAUUGAUGGGGUCAGCGCAAGCGAAGCUCCUGAUCGAAGCCCCGGUAAACGGCGGCCGUAACUAUAACGGUCCUAAGGUAGCGAAAUUCCUUGUCGGGUAAGUUCCGACCUGCACGAAUGGCGUAAUGAUGGCCAGGCUGUCUCCACCCGAGACUCAGUGAAAUUGAACUCGCUGUGAAGAUGCAGUGUACCCGCGGCAAGACGGAAAGACCCCGUGAACCUUUACUAUAGCUUGACACUGAACAUUGAGCCUUGAUGUGUAGGAUAGGUGGGAGGCUUUGAAGUGUGGACGCCAGUCUGCAUGGAGCCGACCUUGAAAUACCACCCUUUAAUGUUUGAUGUUCUAACGUGGACCCGUUACCCGGGUUGCGGACAGUGUCUGGUGGGUAGUUUGACUGGGGCGGUCUCCUCCUAAAGAGUAACGGAGGAGCACGAAGGUUGGCUAAUCCUGGUCGGACAUCAGGAGGUUAGUGCAAUGGCAUAAGCCAGCUUGACUGCGAGCGUGACGGCGCGAGCAGGUGCGAAAGCAGGUCAUAGUGAUCCGGUGGUUCUGAAUGGAAGGGCCAUCGCUCAACGGAUAAAAGGUACUCCGGGGAUAACAGGCUGAUACCGCCCAAGAGUUCAUAUCGACGGCGGUGUUUGGCACCUCGAUGUCGGCUCAUCACAUCCUGGGGCUGAAGUAGGUCCCAAGGGUAUGGCUGUUCGCCAUUUAAAGUGGUACGCGAGCUGGGUUUAGAACGUCGUGAGACAGUUCGGUCCCUAUCUGCCGUGGGCGCUGGAGAACUGAGGGGGGCUGCUCCUAGUACGAGAGGACCGGAGUGGACGCAUCACUGGUGUUCGGGUUGUCAUGCCAAUGGCACUGCCCGGUAGCUAAAUGCGGAAGAGAUAAGUGCUGAAAGCAUCUAAGCACGAAACUUGCCCCGAGAUGAGUUCUCCCUGAGACUUAGAGUCUCCUGAAGGAACGUUGAAGACGACGACGUUGAUAGGCCGGGUGUGUAAGCGCAGCGAUGCGUUGAGCUAACCGGUACUAAUGAACCGUGAGGCUUAACCUUACAACGCCGAAG